ACCCAAGAACUUUUAAAAGCCUUUCAAUUUACUACUAAGGGGAAUUUAUUCUCUUUAAAAUUUAGGAAUAGUUACAGUAGUUGCGACUGCGCCAAUUAUUUCACACCCCCACAGUAAUUUCGAAAACUGGUUCUUGGAAAAUUAAUUUUUAGCCCUUUUUCCACCCUGGUUUGUAUUUUUGUUCGUUACAAAAUCGGGACUAAUAUUAAGGGAAACAUCU
This is a small nucleolar RNA of 220 nucleotides. It matches the Rfam family "Small nucleolar RNA snR83".